CCUACGGGUGGCUGCAGUGGGGAAUUUUGGACAAUGGGCGAAAGCCUGAUCCAGCCAUGCCGCGUGCAGGAUGAAGGCCUUCGGGUUGUAAACUGCUUUUGUACGGAACGAAAAGACUCUUUCUAAUAAAGAGGGUCCAUGACGGUACCGUAAGAAUAAGCACCGGCUAACUACGUGCCAGCAGCCGCGGUAAUACGUAGGGUGCAAGCGUUAAUCGGAAUUACUGGGCGUAAUUCGGUAGCAGGGGGGUGAAAUCCCCGGGCUCAACCUGGGAACUGCAUUUGUGACUGCAUAGCUAGAGUACGGUAGAGGGGGAUGGAAUUCCGCGUGUAGCAGUGAAAUGCGUAGAUAUGCGGAGGAACACCGAUGGCGAAGGCAAUCCCCUGGACCUGUACUGACGCUCAUGCACGAAAGCGUGGGGAGCAAACAGGAUUAGAUACCCCUGUAGUC
Molecule: ribosomal RNA, 450 nt
Filed under: uncultured bacterium
Lineage: Bacteria
Description: partial 16S ribosomal RNA
Rfam family: Bacterial small subunit ribosomal RNA
Source: RNAcentral